RNAcentral lists this ribosomal RNA (253 nucleotides) under uncultured bacterium. RNAcentral describes it as "partial 16S ribosomal RNA". It matches the Rfam family "Bacterial small subunit ribosomal RNA", at positions 524 to 776 of the family's 1533-position model. The record is from RNAcentral.
UACGUAGGGACCAAGCGUUGUUCGGAUUUACUGGGCGUAAAGGGCGCGUAGGCGGCUUGUCAAGUCACUUGUGAAAUCUCUGGGCUUAACCCAGAACGGCCAAGUGAAACUGACAUGCUAGAGUGCAGAAGGGGCAAUCGGAAUUCUUGGUGUAGCGGUGAAAUGCGUAGAUAUCAAGAGGAACACCUGAGGUGAAGACGGGUUGCUGGGCUGACACUGACGCUGAGGCGCGAAAGCCAGGGGAGCAAACAGG